This 406-nucleotide ribosomal RNA is filed under the name uncultured bacterium. Its description in RNAcentral is "partial 16S ribosomal RNA". It matches the Rfam family "Bacterial small subunit ribosomal RNA", at positions 30 to 526 of the family's 1533-position model. The record is from RNAcentral.
AUUGAACGCUGGCGGCAGGCCUAACACAUGCAAGUCGAACGAGUGGCGGACGGGUGAGUAAUGUAUGGGAAACUGCCUGAUGGAGGGGGAUAAAUACUGGAAACGGUAGCUAAUACCACAUACCUACAGAUUUGCACAGAUGGGAUUAGCUUGUUGGUGGGGUAACGGCUCACAAAGGCGACGAUCCCUAGCGGGUCUUCGAGGAUGAACAGCCCCACUGGAACUGAGACACGGUCCAGACUCCUACGGGAGGCAGCAGUGGUGAAUAUUGCACAAUGGGCGCAAGCCAGAUGCAGCCAUGCCGCGAGUAUGAAGAAGGCCUUCGGGUUGUAAAGUACUUUCAGCGGGGAGGCGUUACCCGCAGAAGAAGCACCGGCUAACUCCGUGCCAGCCGCCGCGGUAAUUC